Molecule: ribosomal RNA, 409 nt
Filed under: uncultured bacterium
Lineage: Bacteria
Description: bacterial SSU rRNA
Rfam family: Bacterial small subunit ribosomal RNA
Source: RNAcentral
GACUAGUGGCGGACGGGUGAGUAACGCGUGGUAACCUGCCUCAUACAGGGGAUAACAGUUGGAAACGACUGCUAAGACCGCAUAACCCGCUAGUGUCGCAUGACACGGACGGAAAAUAUUUAUAGGUAUGAGAUGGGCCCGCGUCUGAUUAGCUAGUUGGUAGGUAACGGCUUACCAAGGCGACGAUCAGUAGCCGACUUGAGAGGAGUGAUCGGCCACAUUGGGACUGAGACACGGCCCAAACUCCUACGGGAGGCAGCAGUGGGGAAUAUUGGACAAUGGGGGAAACCCUGAUCCAAGCGACGCCGCGUGAGUGAAGAAGUAUUUCGGUAUGUAAAGCUCUAUCAGCAGGGAAGAUAAUGACAGUACCUGACUAAGAAGCCCCGGCUAACUACGUGCCAGCCGCUGC